UACGUAGGGGGCUAGCGUUGUCCGGAAUCAUUGGGCGUAAAGCGCGUGUAGGCGGCCCGGUAAGUCCGCUGUGAAAGUCCAGGGCUCAACCCUGGGAUGCCGGUGGAUACUGUCGGGCUCGAGUCCGGAAGAGGCGAGUGGAAUUCCCGGUGUAGCGGUGAAAUGCGCAGAUAUCGGGAGGAACACCUAUGGCGAAGGCAGCUCGCUGGGACGUUAACUGACGCUGAGACGCGAAAGCGUGGGGAGCAAACAGG
Molecule: ribosomal RNA, 254 nt
Filed under: uncultured bacterium
Lineage: Bacteria
Description: partial 16S ribosomal RNA
Rfam family: Bacterial small subunit ribosomal RNA
Source: RNAcentral